UUUUCCGCAAGUUGCAGGAUAAUCUGGAAAUAUUUUGGACAGCCUAGUGUUGGAUAAUUUGACACCAUCAGAUAUCACAAUGAAGACAAUAACACUGAAGCGUUGCAAACUGUAGGUUUGUGAUAUAACCAUCAUUAGCAGGGUGGUGACAUUGGAAAUUGUUUAUUCCAGACUUAGGCCUUGUUUGAUAAUCUUGCUAUGGACAUAUGUAUUGGAAACUGGAUACAUAUGCUGUACAAGAAAAUGUAGAGGUCAAAACUGUUUGUGAAAAGAAUAGGGCACCAUGAAAACCGGGCGGCUUUUUUUUGCAUUAUAGGCCCGUUCGGCUUUCACGGAUUCAUGGCCCGGAACGAUGGCUAGUUCUUACUUCAUAGACAGAUUGAUUAUCUAAUUUAUAUAAGAUUUUUUAUUAGAUGUCAGAAUGAUUCCUGGAGUCCAGUCCUGAACAAACGAACAAGGUCGCUGAGCUGCCGGGGUGAGGCCACUGUUCAAGCCACUGGGGUGAAGACACUAUGAUCUUAUCGCUGGAGAUAUAGCAGGGUGCUACAUUUCACUAGCAUUACCGUUUGUAAUUUGAUUCACCCUCCUUUGUACAUAAGAAUUCGUGAUGUUAAAGGUCGGAACAAUAAAGUUCCAUUCGUUGUUUGGCCAAAGAAUUGCACAUAUAUCAGAUAAAAGAAAGCAGAG
RNAcentral lists this long non-coding RNA (687 nucleotides) under Zea mays. Its description in RNAcentral is "long non-coding RNA (ZMAY_LNC002901)". The record is from RNAcentral. Lineage: Eukaryota; Viridiplantae; Streptophyta; Magnoliopsida; Poales; Poaceae.